GAUGAACGCUAGCGGCAGGCUUAAUACAUGCAAGUUGAACGAAGUUAUUUUUAGCAAUAGAAAUAACUUAGUGGCGCACGGGUGCGUAACACGUAUGCAACCUACCCUUAACAGGAACAUAACAUGAAGAAAUUCGUGCUAAUAUUUCAUAGUAUUUAGAACUGGCAUCAGUUUUAAAUUAAAGCUCCGGCGGUUAAGGAUGGGCAUGCGUCCCAUUAGCUUGUUGGUAAGGUAACGGCUUACCAAGGCUACGAUGGGUAGGGGUUCUGAGAGGAAGGUCCCCCACACUGGUACUGAGACACGGACCAGACUCCUACGGGAGGCAGCAGUAAGGAAUAUUGGUCAAUGGACGCAAGUCUGAACCAGCCAUGCCGCGUGCAGGAAGACGGCCCUAUGGGUUGUAAACUGCUUUUGACGGGAAAAAAAGUCCGAUACGAGUUAUUGGUUUGCUAGUACCUGUUGAAUAAGCAUCGGCUAACUCCGUG
This 485-nucleotide ribosomal RNA is filed under the name uncultured organism. RNAcentral's name for it is "bacterial SSU rRNA". It matches the Rfam family "Bacterial small subunit ribosomal RNA", at positions 28 to 507 of the family's 1533-position model. The record is from RNAcentral.